GGUCAAGAUACAAAGGGCGUAUGGGGAAUGACUAGGCACUAAGAGGCGAUGAAGGACGUGGUAGCCUGCGAUAAGCUUCGGGCAGCCGGCAACAGGCGUUACGACCCGGAGAUUUCCGAAUGGGGAAACCCGGCGGGUUUGACUACCCGCCAGACAUGGCUGAAUGCAUAGGCCAUGAUCAGCGAAAUGCAGUGAACUGAACCAUCUUAGUAACUGCAAGAAAAGAAAUCGAAUGAGAUUUCCUGAGUAGCGGCGAGCGAAAAGGAAAAUAGCCCAAACCGACGGCAGCAAUGCAGUCGGGGUCGCGGGAGCUUCUGCUUUAAUGCAACGGAGUUACAAAAUCACACCUAGUUGAACGGCAUGGGAAGGCCGACCACAGAAGGUGAGAGUCCUGUAAGCGAAAGGUGAUGAUCUCCGGAAGAAUUCCCAAGUACUGUCAGAUAAGAGGAACCUGGCAGGAAUUUAGGGGGCCCACCCUCUAAGGCUAAAUACUACUUAGUGACCGACAGUGAACCAGUACCGCGAGGGAAAGUUGGAAAGAUCCCCGGGA
RNAcentral lists this ribosomal RNA (550 nucleotides) under Planctomycetota bacterium. RNAcentral's name for it is "partial 23S ribosomal RNA". It matches the Rfam family "Bacterial large subunit ribosomal RNA", at positions 1 to 532 of the family's 2925-position model. The record is from RNAcentral. Lineage: Bacteria; Pseudomonadati; Planctomycetota.